CAUGAAAUCUGCGGCCGCCACACUUGA
RNAcentral lists this small RNA (27 nucleotides) under Bombyx mori (domestic silkworm). Its description in RNAcentral is "ovarian small RNA-13423". The record is from RNAcentral. Lineage: Eukaryota; Metazoa; Arthropoda; Insecta; Lepidoptera; Bombycidae.